Molecule: RNA transcript, 1404 nt
Organism: Onthophagus taurus
Lineage: Eukaryota; Metazoa; Arthropoda; Insecta; Coleoptera; Scarabaeidae
Source: RefSeq, a predicted model, not a curated record
CUAUAUCUUUUCAAAUGACUAUUGCUAUCAUUUUAAAAUAGACAACUUUAAGGUUUAAGGCUUUAGCAAUAUUUUUAAAUUUGAUAAUUUAAAUAUAUUUUCCCGUGAUAGGUGUGUCGCAAGAUAAUAAUAUUUAAUUAAGCUCAGAUUAUUGUGAUGAUUUCAUUGGAAUUCUGGAUAAAAUUAUCUCUCAGAAUCAUAUCGUUGAGUUCAUUAUCGAUUAUUCACCAUACAAAACACCAAAAGCGCAUGCGUUUAUCAUUUCUGAUCGAAUAAACUCCAAUUUCUCCGGGUUUUUUAACGCAACAAAGCAAAAUGUUCAAAUUAAACGAGAAAACGUGUGAUAAAAUUUUCGUAGUUGUAUACAUAGUGUGUUUUUGUACUGUGUCUAUUUAUAUGUAUUCUGGAAAAUCUAAUAAUGAAAUAUUAAAUGAAAAUAUUAAUGAAAACGAAGAAGUUGAAGAGAAAAAUGUAAUAAAUGCAGAAAUAAAUCAAGAAUCAAAAAAGAUAGAUGAAGAUUUUACAUUAAACUCGUGGAAACAUUUUUUGAAUGAAUAUAUCGGGAAUAAAACUAAAUGCUAUUUUUCUAAAGAAUUUGAUGAAAAACCAAAGUCGUCAGAAGAAAAUGAAACUGUUAUUCAUAUUUCGAUUUUGUUGCUUCAAACGUCUUUAAUUUGGACUAUUGUUGAUUUUGUCGAUAGAUACAUGAAACGAGGGAAGAAAAAAAUAGAAAAGCCACCGUUGCAUCGAACCUGUUCUUUAGCUGAUAUGACUUUAAUGAGACAUCAAAGACGUGAAUCGAUGAGGAAGGAUCUUUCAUUGGAUGCAAGGUUUCCAUCGAGAAUGAUUGGUAGGAGUUCAAAAACAGAAUUGUGCGCGAUUUAUAAAUAAAAUAAUAAAACUGAUAAGUUUCCGAAAAUAUUAAUCGUCGAUGUUCCCUUCCUUUGGGUGGCCCUAAAGAUCAGCACAAGAUAAGAAAAGAUUCCAUUGACGUCACCGGUUCAUUACGCAGAAGGAUGACUAUUAACAGUAUUGUCGAAACGCCUCAAGAGUUGGAACAUAAAAGAAGUCAUGUGAGACUUUUACACAGACAUUAAAUUCAAAAUUUAAAGGCAAAAUUUAUCAAAACGAACAUUAAACACUUUGAGAUGCGCACAACGACUAAAAACUUACUAAAGGAAUUCUCAAGAUUUUAAGACCAAUUUUAUUGCAUCGUGCAAAGAGCUAUCGAAGAUUUUUAAAACAUUUUGAAACAUUGUCAAAAAGUUGAAGAUCCUAUUUUUGUAAAACCGUACUACAUAUUACAAAUUUAAUGGUUAUCUGUAAAUUUGACGUCUCACAUGGAUUAAAUAUUUAAUUUUGUUAAGAAAUGUAUUUAAAUAACAAUAAAUGUGGAGAUAAUAA